CCGCCAAAGUUGUCCGGUGUUCGGUCAUUCAAACAUCACGAACAAGAAGCAACGCCUCGACACAGCGACUUAGAACCAACAGACCAACACAGAGUCAACACAACACAUUGGAAAAAGGCCAGACGUUUUUAUUUCUACAACUUCUUGAUUUAACCCAUCCUUUUUUUAAGUCACUAUGGCAAAUAGACAACUCGUCGCCAUCGCCGUCAUCGUGUCCCUCGCCCUCACUGUCGUCGACGCAAGGAACUUCCAUGCGAUCGGUGGUCCUCGACCAUGGGCUGCUGGAGGAGCCAAGCAGCAAUUAAGCGCUCUUCCCGGUGGUAAAGAUGGCAACCCAUUCAUCAAGAGACUGAGGCAGCUUGUCUUCCAACCAGAAGCAUUCUACGAUCCUGGAAUGGACCAGUUCGCCUUUGGAGAGGGUUUCAACGCCGAUGAAUAGAGAACUCAUCAACGACACAGACGAUAUUGAGUAAACAUUUAUUUUUUCAGGAAAUUACCCCCACCAGCCUAGCAUUGCAGUUAGAAUCCUGCAGACUCUAGCUUAUGAUGACGCCCUCUGUUGAUUACCUCAGCACCGGAAUGUGCACCAACCCUACCCAUGAAUCCAGAGUUCUGCUCCCACCCGAUUGCCUGUUUUAGUUGCAAACCACUAUUUUGUUCCAUCUCAUAAUACGUUCGUUAUGGAGACCAACUUGCAAGCACUUUCGUGUGGCAAAGUAUUGAAGCAAUACGACAAAAUGGUGAACUAACAGCUGUCAUCCAAAUAAACGGAGAUAUUUUACAGUAACUCAUUCGUGAAAGGGAAAUGGUACUUCGACAUAUAAAAGAAGGUGACAACACUCUUUUCCAGUAGUAAUGUGCAUCAUGCAAAUUUCGAGAGGUGGAGGAGAGAAAAAGGGUGUGUGUAUGUGUGUGUGUGAGAGAGAGAGAGAGAGAGAGAAAGAAAAAGAAAAAGGGGGAGAGAGAUCUCAAAUAUAGUAUUUUCCGGUUGGCCACUUCGAAUAUGCAUAAACUGCAAACAAAUUGGCAAGAUACAUUGCAUUGCUUUCAAAUUAGAUACUAUAUAAUCUCAUUUGAUGGAAUGAAAUAAUUACAAAACCGUGGACCAAAUCAAAAGAUGACGACGAUCAUUCAUUAUAAACAACCAUAAAACCACUAUUCAUUUUACGUGCAAUCUUUAUUUGUCCUCUAAUGUGCAAUGUUAUUUGAAGUUUAAAAUUAUUGUUAUACUCCUACACAAAGAUGAUGACUGCAAUUUGUCAUACCUGUAGAUGAAAGUAAUUUAUUUUCUUGUAAAUACUAAUAGUUUACCUGUGGCUUAUUUUCUACAUUCUGUAAAAAAAUAUUAAUUUUAUGAAUUCGCACGCAAUCCGCCAUGUGUAAUUAUGUAAGCACAUAAUUUAGAUGUGUGUUAUUGCUUAAGUUUGUAUAGGAAGAGAUAUAGCGCCAAUUGCGGCAUUUAUUGUUUGAUGAGUAAGUGUAUUUUAGAAACACCAGCCAUCCAUACUAAAUCCGCAGUGAUACUAGAAAACCUACAUAAUACCAGAUUGAUCAGAGAACAUUCUGAGCCCAACAAUUUUCUAUCUCACCUAGCCUUGUCUUAUCACAAUGACAAUAACCAAGUGUCAUGUAUAUAAUUCGUUACGAAGAUUUUAUCAAUUUGUUGGUCCAAAUUGUUUUCUCAUUGUAUUUAUUUAUUCAGUUAUAUAUGAAAUAAAUUAGUUCACAGCCCACACUGUGCUUACA
Molecule: long non-coding RNA, 1746 nt
Filed under: Lytechinus variegatus (green sea urchin)
Lineage: Eukaryota; Metazoa; Echinodermata; Echinoidea; Temnopleuroida; Toxopneustidae
Description: uncharacterized LOC121429587
Source: RNAcentral